CCUACGGGAGGCAGCAGUAGGGAAUCUUUCACAAUGGGCGAAAGCCUGAUGGAGCAACGCCGCGUGCAGGAUGAAGGCCUUCGGGUUGUAAACUGCUUUUAUAAGCGAUAAAUAUGAUGGUAACUUAUGAAUAAGGAUCGGCUAACUACGUGCCAGCAGCCGCGGUCAUACGUAGGAUCCGAGCAUUAUCCGGAGUGACUGGGUGUAAAGAGUUGCGUAGGUGGCAUAAUAAGUAGCUAGUGAAAUCUGGUGGCUCAACCAUUCAGACUAUUAGCUAAACUGUUAAGCUCGAGACCGUUAGGGGUAACUGGAAUUUCUAGUGUAGGAGUGAAAUCCGUAGAUAUUAGAAGGAACACCAAUAGCGGAGGCAGGUUGCUGGGACGGUUCUGACACUAAGGCACGAAAGCGUAGGGAGCAAACGGGAUUAGAUACCCUUGUAGUC
This 442-nucleotide ribosomal RNA is filed under the name uncultured bacterium. RNAcentral's name for it is "partial 16S ribosomal RNA". It matches the Rfam family "Bacterial small subunit ribosomal RNA", at positions 338 to 795 of the family's 1533-position model. The record is from RNAcentral.